GUUGUUGGGUAGGGGAGCGUUCUGUAAGCCGUUGAAGGUGGUCUGUGAGGACUGCUGGAGGUAUCAGAAGUGCGAAUGCUGACAUAAGUAACGAUAAAGCGGGUGAAAAGCCCGCUCGCCGGAAGACCAAGGGUUCCUGUCCAACGUUAAUCGGGGCAGGGUGAGUCGACCCCUAAGGCGAGGCCGAAAGGCGUAGUCGAUGGGAAACAGGUUAAUAUUCCUGUACUUGGUGUUACUGCGAAGGGGGGACGGAGAAGGCUAUGUCAUCCGGGCGACGGUUGUCCCGGUUUAAGCGUGCAGGUGUGUGCUCCAGGCAAAUCCGGAGCGCUUUAACACUGAGGCGUGAUGACGAGGCACUACGGUGCUGAAGUGACAGAUGCCCUGCUUCCAGGAAAAGCCUCUAAGCUCCAGGUAACACGAAAUCGUACCCCAAACCGACACAGGUGGUCAGGUAGAGAAUACCAAGGCGCUUGAGAGAACUCGGGUGAAGGAACUAGGCAAAAUGGUGCCGUAACUUCGGGAGAAGGCACGCUGGUGCGUAGGUGAAGUCCCUUGCGGAUGGAGCUGAGACCAGUCGAAGAUACCAGCUGGCUGCAACUGUUUAUUAAAAACACAGCACUGUGCAAACACGAAAGUGGACGUAUACGGUGUGACGCCUGCCCGGUGCCGGAAGGUUAAUUGAUGGGGUCAGCCGUAAGGCGAAGCUCCUGAUCGAAGCCCCGGUAAACGGCGGCCGUAACUAUAACGGUCCUAAGGUAGCGAAAUUCCUUGUCGGGUAAGUUCCGACCUGCACGAAUGGCGUAAUGAUGGCCAGGCUGUCUCCACCCGAGACUCAGUGAAAUUGAACUCGCUGUGAAGAUGCAGUGUACCCGCGGCAAGACGGAAAGACCCCGUGAACCUUUACUAUAGCUUGACACUGAACAUUGAGCCUUGAUGUGUAGGAUAGGUGGGAGGCUUUGAAGCGUGGACGCCAGUCUGCGUGGAGCCGACCUUGAAAUACCACCCUUUAAUGUUUGAUGUUCUAACGUGGACCCGUGAUCCGGGUUGCGGACAGUGUCUGGUGGGUAGUUUGACUGGGGCGGUCUCCUCCUAAAGAGUAACGGAGGAGCACGAAGGUUGGCUAAUCCUGGUCGGACAUCAGGAGGUUAGUGCAAUGGCAUAAGCCAGCUUGACUGCGAGCGUGACGGCGCGAGCAGGUGCGAAAGCAGGUCAUAGUGAUCCGGUGGUUCUGAAUGGAAGGGCCAUCGCUCAACGGAUAAAAGGUACUCCGGGGAUAACAGGCUGAUACCGCCCAAGAGUUCAUAUCGACGGCGGUGUUUGGCACCUCGAUGUCGGCUCAUCACAUCCUGGGGCUGAAGUAGGUCCCAAGGGUAUGGCUGUUCGCCAUUUAAAGUGGUACGCGAGCUGGGUUUAGAACGUCGUGAGACAGUUCGGUCCCUAUCUGCCGUGGGCGCUGGAGAAUUGAGGGGGGCUGCUCCUAGUACGAGAGGACCGGAGUGGACGCAUCACUGGUGUUCGGGUUGUCAUGCCAAUGGCACUGCCCGGUAGCUAAAUGCGGAAGAGAUAAGUGCUGAAAGCAUCUAAGCACGAAACUUGCCCCGAGAUGAGUUCUCCCUGACUCCUUGAGAGUCCUGAAGGAACGUUGAAGACGACGACGUUGAUAGGCCGGGUGUGUAAGCGCAGCGAUGCGUUGAGCUAACCGGUACUAAUGAACCGUGAGGCUUAACCUU
This 1730-nucleotide ribosomal RNA is filed under the name Trabulsiella odontotermitis. RNAcentral's name for it is "bacterial LSU rRNA". It matches the Rfam family "Bacterial large subunit ribosomal RNA", at positions 1220 to 2925 of the family's 2925-position model. The record is from RNAcentral. Lineage: Bacteria; Pseudomonadati; Pseudomonadota; Gammaproteobacteria; Enterobacterales; Enterobacteriaceae.